AGGGAAAUAGCUCGGUGGUUAGAGCACAUGCUUAGCAUGCAAGAAGUCCUGGGUUCAAUCCCCAGUAGCUCCA
Molecule: transfer RNA, 73 nt
Filed under: Camelus bactrianus (Bactrian camel)
Lineage: Eukaryota; Metazoa; Chordata; Mammalia; Artiodactyla; Camelidae
Also listed under: 2 other names
Rfam family: tRNA
About the family: Transfer RNA (tRNA) molecules are approximately 80 nucleotides in length.
Source: Rfam by way of RNAcentral